RNAcentral lists this long non-coding RNA (679 nucleotides) under Sus scrofa (pig). Its description in RNAcentral is "lncRNA (ENSSSCG00055025983.1)". The record is from RNAcentral. Lineage: Eukaryota; Metazoa; Chordata; Mammalia; Artiodactyla; Suidae.
CGGUGGUAAAACAGAAGGCUUCACGCAGAGGAGGCAUUCAAAGCAUUUGUGCCGUGUGCCCCCCACCCCCCACCUCCCCACUCUCCCCACUCUCCCCACCCCUGCUCAGGGCACAGGCCCCAGGCCCCAGCUGCCGAAGCCUCUCACAACAGACCUUCCGGUCUCUCUGGGCUCCGCUCUGUCAAAUGGAAAUCAGCAACACAGGCCACAGAGUAAUUAAACCGCUGGCAUUCUUUUGACAAAAAAUAUUUCUCUUGGGAUAUUCCCACAGGCCACUGAAGGACUGUCUGGGGCCUGCAAGCUCCCAGCUGAAUAUCAAGGGAGUUUUGAAAUUGGCCUUGACUCGGGAUCAAAAGGGGAUGGGAGUUCGGGGUGUGAAUAUGGGGGUGGGAAAUGCAUUAUAAUUAAAUUUAUCAUUUGGUCUUUCAGCUUGAAGCACCAACACCUGCUUCCCCAGGACAAAUAUGGACAGAGAAUAAAGAGAGACCUUCGAGGAUUGUCGUUAAAGACAUUGCAAGACGGCGGGAGCUACGUGCCAGGUGAACAGUCAAUAAAUUCGACCUCCCUCCCUUCCUGAGCAUUCGGACCACACAGAGGCCUCCCCUGCUCUUGGCUUUGGCUUUGAGGAGCCUGUGGUCGUGGAGAGGAUUUCACACUGGAAGUACGUGCAUUCCAAAUU